UUUUAUUUCAUUUCCACAACUCUCACAACACCUAUGAAUUGAGGCACUUCCCUUUUUAUAGAUCAGGAAAUGGAUGGAGGCUGACAGAGGCCAGAGCCAGGCCAGGGCAGAAAGGACAGAGGAAGCAAAACCCGGAGUCGGAACGCGCAGGCUGGAUUUGGGCAGCGGUGAGGGGCUGGAGCGAGAGGGCGGGAGAGUGACAAGAAAGAAGAAGGGAGAGACAGAGACAAACAUGGAUGUGAGAGAGAAACAUUGAUUGGUUGCCUCCCAUAUCUGCUAAGACCAGGGAUCGAACCCACGACCUAGGUGAGGAAACGUGAAGUUCAGCAUAUGGAAAAUGCAAAAGGAAGAAACCGACUAUUGAGUCUCCCUCUUCCCUCCAGCUUCUCAAAGAGGAAUGACUUUAAAAUGAAACAGAUGAGCCCUGGCUGGUGUGGCUCAGUUGGUUGGCGUAUCAUCCUGUAACUUAAAGGUUGAGGGUUCUAUUCACAUCAGGGCACAUACUUAGGUUGUGGGUUCGAUCUCGGUCAGGUGCAUAUGGGAGGCAACCAACUGAUGUUUCUCUGCUCUCUCUCAUAUCAAUCUCUCUCUCUCAAACCAAUAAGCAUAAUCAAGUGGGGAUUAAAAAAUUAAAAUAAAACACAUGAAAUCCAGAUCAG
This is a long non-coding RNA of Artibeus jamaicensis (Jamaican fruit-eating bat), 659 nucleotides long. RefSeq lists it as uncharacterized. Lineage: Eukaryota; Metazoa; Chordata; Mammalia; Chiroptera; Phyllostomidae. The transcript is spliced from 3 exons. The record is from RefSeq and is a predicted model, not a curated record.